GUCGAGAAUCUUCCGCAAUGCGCGAAAGCGUGACGGAGCGACACCGCGUGAUGGAUGAAGUCCUUCGGGGCGUAAACAUCUUUUAUAAAGGAGGAAAUUUUUGACGUUACUUUAUGAAUAAGGGGCUCCCAAUCUCGUGCCAGCAGGAGCGGUAAUACGAGAGCCUCAAGCGUUAUCCGGAAUCAUUGGGCGUAAAGGGUGCGUAGGUGGUUUGAUUAGUCUCCCGUUAAAACUUCGAGCUUAACGCGAAAAGAGCGGGGGAAACGGUCAAACUAGAGUAUGUGAGAGGUGUGUGGAACUCAUGGUGUAGGGGUGAAAUCCGUUGAUAUCAUGGGGAACACCAAAAGCGAAGGCAGCACACUGGCACAUCACUGACACUGAGGCACGAAACCUAAGGUAGCGAAUGGGAUUAGAUACCCCAGUAGUCC
Molecule: ribosomal RNA, 428 nt
Filed under: uncultured bacterium
Lineage: Bacteria
Description: partial 16S ribosomal RNA
Rfam family: Bacterial small subunit ribosomal RNA
Source: RNAcentral